GACCAUCUGAAGGUGCAAGCCUCUUGGACAAUGCAUCAACAAUUUUUUUGUCCAUUCCCUUGUACAAAAUUUUGUACUGCAGUUCCAACAAUUUAGAGACCCUCGCUGAGUUGCAAAUUAGUGUGCAAGCUUUGCUCUAGUAGGUGUUUAAUACUCUCAUGAUAUGUCUUAAUGAAGAAGGGACCCUGCCCCAAAUAAUGCCUGCAUUUAGAGACAACAGAGGUAAUUACUAAUAAUUUCCUCUCAUAAAUAGAUAA
This 257-nucleotide unclassified non-coding RNA is filed under the name Hevea brasiliensis (rubber tree). The record is from RNAcentral. Lineage: Eukaryota; Viridiplantae; Streptophyta; Magnoliopsida; Malpighiales; Euphorbiaceae.